GUGCUUGGGCGAGAGUAGUACUA
Molecule: non-coding RNA, 23 nt
Filed under: Arabidopsis thaliana (thale cress)
Lineage: Eukaryota; Viridiplantae; Streptophyta; Magnoliopsida; Brassicales; Brassicaceae
Source: RNAcentral